CAAAAAAAUAGAUUGAUUACAACAUGACACUAACAAGGGAGGUAAUUACUUUUUUAAACUGACAAGAAAACUAGCACGUUAAACUUAGAGUAUAGAUUCACAGGUCAGAGAUUGUCAGAUCAAAAUUUUUUUUAAUCGGAGAUUAUGUCGACGGAUCAUAUGCAAAAGUCUUUUUCAAUCUAAACAAUAAGGGUGCGUGAUCUUUAGUCUUAAGUUUGGAGAUGAUCUAAGAUGAUAAGACAUAACAGUGACUAUCCUCUAUUACUAUUGUGGCUAUUGUAAAAUGGGUAUAAAUGGUCCGGUUCCGCUUAUUUAUUUCCCCGCAAAAACAAAUACAGGGCUGCCGGUUCCUUGCCGGUAUUGUCGCAAAACGUUCUGCAAGUUCACAUUUAAAACCGCGAGUAGCUUUCAAUUUUUUUGCCAUUCGGAGUCUAUUCAGUAUGAAUAUUGCUCAUUUGUGAAGGCUAUAUGGUCACUUAAACUAGAAGGUGUGGAUGGCGUUUAAGGAAUAGAGAAUAGCGGGGAUUGAAUAUUAGAGACAAUGGAACAAAAAUGAAUAAAAUAGAAUAAUGAGGUGUUCAAAUAUAAAGAGAAUAAGUUAACUGGCAAAAAGUAUGAAGAAUAGAGAAAAAUGGCUCACACCAUAAUUUAAAGAGUAUAUAGAGAAACAUUAUUAAGGGUUUCGCGGAACCCAGUGUCUAGCCUACUUAUGCUGUUAAUCGCAGGCUCAACAAAAGAGGAAUAAAAUCAAUAAAAAAUAUUCCUCUUAAUACUAUCUUAUGAUUCUAAGAAGCUUCUGUCCACGUUUGGUAAAAAUACAGAAUGUUUUAAAAACCUUAACUGCAGACUGUCUGUAAUAUAGACUGGAAGAAAUACUAAUAUAUAAAAAAGAAGAUGUGGUAUGAUUGCCAAUAAGACAACUAUCCACAAAAGACCAAAAUGACACAAACAUUAACAACUAUAGGUCACCGUACGGCCUUCAACAAUGAGCAAAGCCCAUACCACGUAGUCAGCUAUAAAAGCCGAAAAGACAAAGUAAAACAAUUCAAACGAGAAAACUAACGGCCUUAUUUAUGUAAAAAAAUGAACGAAAAACAAAUAUGUAACACAUAAACAAACGACAACGACUGAAUUACAGGCUCCUGACUUGGGACAGGCACAUACAUAAAUAAUGUAAGUCCAUUUAUAAGUAAAAUACAGAUACACAGG
RNAcentral lists this long non-coding RNA (1209 nucleotides) under Mytilus galloprovincialis (Mediterranean mussel). The record is from RNAcentral. Lineage: Eukaryota; Metazoa; Mollusca; Bivalvia; Mytilida; Mytilidae.